GAUGAACGCUGGCGGCGUGCCUAAUACAUGCGAGUCGAGCGAACAGACGAGGAGCUUGCUCCUCUGACGUUAGCGGCGGACGGGUGAGUAACACGUGGAUAACCUACCUAUAAGACUGGGAUAACUUCGGGAAACCGGAGCUAAUACCGGAUAAUAUAUUGAACCGCAUGGUUCAAUAGUGAAAGACGGUUUUGCUGUCACUUAUAGAUGGAUCCGCGCCGCAUUAGCUAGUUGGUAAGGUAACGGCUUACCAAGGCAACGAUGCGUAGCCGACCUGAGAGGGUGAUCGGCCACACUGGAACUGAGACACGGUCCAGACUCCUACGGGAGGCAGCAGUAGGGAAUCUUCCGCAAUGGGCGAAAGCCUGACGGAGCAACGCCGCGUGAGUGAUGAAGGUCUUCGGAUCGUAAAACUCUGUUAUUUGGGAAGAACAAAUGUGUAAGUAACUAUGCACGUCUUGACGGUACCUAAUCAGAAAGCCACGGCUAACUACGUG
RNAcentral lists this ribosomal RNA (497 nucleotides) under uncultured bacterium. RNAcentral's name for it is "partial 16S ribosomal RNA". It matches the Rfam family "Bacterial small subunit ribosomal RNA", at positions 28 to 507 of the family's 1533-position model. The record is from RNAcentral.